AUGACCCCUGAGCCCAUCAUUGACCUCUUCCCUACUACUGUUUUUCUCCUGUGGGCCAUGUCCAACCUCGAGUCCCAACCAGCCUGUUCCCCCCGGACAUCAGGGAGGCUGGACUUUGGGCCUCCUGUGCAGCUGCAGGUGGGCCUGGGCAGGAGGUUUGUGUUCAAGGCUGUAUCACUGUGUUAUGUGUUCGGCGGAGGGACCCAUCUGACCGUCCUAGGUCAGCCCAAGGCCGCACCCUCGGUCGCUCUGUUCCCGCCCUCCACUGACGAGCUCAGCAACGACAAGGCCACGCUGGUGUGCCUCAUCAGUGACUUCUACCCCGGCGUCGUGACGGUGGCCUGGAAGAAAAAUGGCAGCCCCGUCACCCAGGGCGUGGAGACCACCAAGCCCUCCAAACAGAGCAACAACAAGUACGCGGCCAGCAGCUACCUGAGCGUGUCGCCCAGCACGUGGAAGUCAGCCAGCAGCUACAGCUGCCACGUCACGCACGAAGGCAGCACCGUGGAGAAGUCCGUGACCCCCUCGGAGUGUUCCUAGGACCGGAGCCCCCACCCCUGGGCACUGGAUCCUUAGGUCCCCCAGGAAAAUCU
Molecule: non-coding RNA, 593 nt
Organism: Pteronotus mesoamericanus
Lineage: Eukaryota; Metazoa; Chordata; Mammalia; Chiroptera; Mormoopidae
Source: the annotation of a RefSeq genome assembly